RNAcentral lists this ribosomal RNA (559 nucleotides) under uncultured bacterium. RNAcentral describes it as "bacterial SSU rRNA". It matches the Rfam family "Bacterial small subunit ribosomal RNA", at positions 12 to 558 of the family's 1533-position model. The record is from RNAcentral.
UUUGAUCAUGGCUCAGAAUUGAACGCUGGCUGUGCAGGCCUAACACAUGCAAGUCGAGCGGAUGACGGGAGCUUGCUCCUUGAUUCAGCGGCUGGACGGGUGAGUAAUGCCUAGGAAUCUGCCUGGUAGUGGGGGACAACGUUUCGAAAGGAACGCUAAUACCGCAUACGUCCUACGGGAGAAAGCAGGGGACCUUCGGGCCUUGCGCUAUCAGAUGAGCCUAGGUCGGAUUAGCUAGUUGGUGAGGUAAUGGCUCACCAAGGCGACGAUCCGUAACUGGUCUGAGAGGAUGAUCAGUCACACUGGAACUGAGACACGGUCCAGACUCCUACGGGAGGCAGCAGUGGGGAAUAUUGGACAAUGGGCGAAAGCCUGAUCCAGCCAUGCCGCGUGUGUGAAGAAGGUCUUCGGAUUGUAAAGCACUUUAAGUUNGGGAGGAAGGGCAGUAAGCUAAUACCUUGCUGUUUUGACGUUACCGACAGAAUAAGCACCGNGCUAACUCUGUAGCCANCAGGCCGCGGUUAUACAGAGGGUGCAAGCGUUAAUCGGAAUUACUGGG